Molecule: ribosomal RNA, 254 nt
Filed under: uncultured bacterium
Lineage: Bacteria
Description: partial 16S ribosomal RNA
Rfam family: Bacterial small subunit ribosomal RNA
Source: RNAcentral
UACAGAGGGUGCGAGCGUUGUCCGGAAUCACUGGGCGUAAAGGGCGCGUAGGCGGCUUGAUAAGCGUGCGGUGAAAGCCCGGGGCUCAACCCCGGGUCGGCCGUGCGAACUGUCGAGCUGGAGCACUGUAGAGGCAGGUGGAAUUCCGGGUGUAGCGGUGGAAUGCGUAGAGAUCCGGAAGAACACCGGUGGCGAAGGCGGCCUGCUGGGCAGUGGCUGGACGCUGAGGAGCGAAAGCGUGGGGAGCGAACAGG